UACGAAGGGGGCUAGCGUUGCUCGGAAUCACUGGGCGUAAAGGGCGCGUAGGCGGAUCUUUAAGUCGGGGGUGAAAGCCCAGGGCUCAACCCUGGAAUUGCCUCCGAUACUGAAGAUCUCGAGACCGGAAGAGGUAAGUGGAACUGCGAGUGUAGAGGUGAAAUUCGUAGAUAUUCGCAAGAACACCAGUGGCGAAGGCGGCUUACUGGUCCGGUUCUGACGCUGAGGCGCGAAAGCGUGGGGAGCAAACAGG
RNAcentral lists this ribosomal RNA (253 nucleotides) under uncultured bacterium. RNAcentral describes it as "partial 16S ribosomal RNA". It matches the Rfam family "Bacterial small subunit ribosomal RNA", at positions 524 to 776 of the family's 1533-position model. The record is from RNAcentral.